UAGUGGCGAACGGGUGAGUAACACGUGGGAAAUCUGCCCUGCACUCUGGGACAAGCCUUGGAAACGAGGUCUAAUACCGGAUAUGACCUUCCCUCGCAUGGGGGUUGGUGGAAAGCUCCGGCGGUGCAGGAUGGUCCCGCGGCCUAUCAGCUUGUUGGUGGGGUAAUGGCCUACCAAGGCGACGACGGGUAGCCGGCCUGAGAGGGCGACCGGCCACACUGGGACUGAGACACGGCCCAGACUCCUACGGGAGGCAGCAGUGGGGAAUAUUGCACAAUGGGCGAAAGCCUGAUGCAGCGACGCCGCGUGAGGGAUGACGGCCUUCGGGUUGUAAACCUCUUUCAGCAGGGAAGAAGCGCAAGUGACGGUACCUGCAGAAGAAGCACCGGCUAACUACGUGCCAGCAGCCGCGGUAAUACGUAGGGUGCGAGCGUUGUCCGGAAUUAUUGGGCGUAAAGAGCUCGUAGGCGGCCUGUCGCGUCGGAUGUGAAAGCCCGGGGCUUAACCCCGGGUCUGCAUUCGAUACGGGCAGGCUAGAGUGUGGUAGGGGAGAUCGGAAUUCCU
This 564-nucleotide ribosomal RNA is filed under the name Kitasatospora sp. 331G05. RNAcentral's name for it is "bacterial SSU rRNA". It matches the Rfam family "Bacterial small subunit ribosomal RNA", at positions 93 to 671 of the family's 1533-position model. Lineage: Bacteria; Bacillati; Actinomycetota; Actinomycetes; Kitasatosporales; Streptomycetaceae. The record is from RNAcentral.